Molecule: ribosomal RNA, 405 nt
Filed under: Vagococcus lutrae
Lineage: Bacteria; Bacillati; Bacillota; Bacilli; Lactobacillales; Enterococcaceae
Description: bacterial SSU rRNA
Rfam family: Bacterial small subunit ribosomal RNA
Source: RNAcentral
AGUUGGGCACUCUAGCGAGACUGCCGGUGACAAACCGGAGGAAGGUGGGGAUGACGUCAAAUCAUCAUGCCCCUUAUGACCUGGGCUACACACGUGCUACAAUGGACAGUACAAUGAGUUGCGAGACCGCGAGGUUUAGCUAAUCUCUUAAAGCUGUUCUCAGUUCGGAUUGCAGGCUGCAACUCGCCUGCAUGAAGCCGGAAUCGCUAGUAAUCGCGGAUCAGAACGCCGCGGUGAAUACGUUCCCGGGCCUUGUACACACCGCCCGUCACACCACGAGAGUUUGUAACACCCAAAGUCGGUGAGGUAACCUUCGGGAGCCAGCCGCCUAAGGUGGGAUGGAUGAUUGGGGUGAAGUCGUAACAAGGUAGCCGUAUCGGAAGGUGCGGCUGGAUCACCUCCUUU